UGAGGAACAUGACUUUCGGCGGGGGAUAGCCGCCCAACGGCCGGGUAAUACCGCGUACGACCUCUCGGGGACGUCCCGGUUGGUGAAAGCAGCAAUGCACCGAAAGAGUGCCUCGCGGCCUAUCAGCUAGUUGGUGGGUAAUGGCUCACCAAGGCGACGACGGGUAGCUGGUCUGAGAGGAUGGCCAGCCACAUUUGGGACUGAGACACGGCCCAGACUCCUACGGGAGCAG
This 232-nucleotide ribosomal RNA is filed under the name uncultured bacterium. RNAcentral describes it as "partial 16S ribosomal RNA". It matches the Rfam family "Bacterial small subunit ribosomal RNA", at positions 118 to 347 of the family's 1533-position model. The record is from RNAcentral.